AUGUUGUAUCUUUUUUUUAUAAACAGCUUUGUUGAAAUGAAAUUCACAUAUGCAGUUCAUCCAUUUAAAGGGUGUAGUCCAGUGCGUUUUAGUUUGCUCAGAUUUCCAACGGUGAACACAAUUAUACAAGAAAACUAUACUAUGCAAAACCAUGUGCUUAUCCAAUCCAGGUGUCUGGCAAAUGUGGACUUAGCUGUAUCUUAG
Molecule: long non-coding RNA, 204 nt
Filed under: Cricetulus griseus (Chinese hamster)
Lineage: Eukaryota; Metazoa; Chordata; Mammalia; Rodentia; Cricetidae
Description: lncRNA (ENSCGRG00000026594.1)
Source: RNAcentral